UGGGGAAUCUUGCACAAUGGGGGAAACCCUGAUGCAGCGACGCCGCGUGAGCGAUGAAGGUUUUCGAAUCGUAAAGCUCUGUCCUAUGGGAAGAUAAUGACGGUACCAUGGGAGGAAGCCCCGGCUAACUACGUGCCAGCAGCCGCGGUAAUACGUAGGGGGCGAGCGUUGUCCGGAAUUACUGGGCGUAAAGGGUUCGCAGGCGGCAUGGCAAGUCCGAUGUAAAAGGCGAAGGCUCAACCUUCGUAAGCAUCGGAAACUGCCAAGCUUGAGUGAAGGAGAGGCAAGUGGAAUUCCUAGUGUAGCGGUGGAAUGCGUAGAUAUUAGGAGGAAUACCGGUGGCGAAGGCGACUUGCUGGACUUCAACUGACGCUGAGGAACGAAAGCGUGGGUAGCAAACAGG
RNAcentral lists this ribosomal RNA (403 nucleotides) under Fusobacteriota bacterium. RNAcentral's name for it is "Fusobacteria bacterium partial 16S ribosomal RNA". It matches the Rfam family "Bacterial small subunit ribosomal RNA", at positions 355 to 776 of the family's 1533-position model. Lineage: Bacteria; Fusobacteriati; Fusobacteriota. The record is from RNAcentral.